This 346-nucleotide ribosomal RNA is filed under the name uncultured bacterium. Its description in RNAcentral is "partial 16S ribosomal RNA". It matches the Rfam family "Bacterial small subunit ribosomal RNA", at positions 338 to 681 of the family's 1533-position model. The record is from RNAcentral.
CCUACGGGUGGCAGCAGUGAGGAAGAUUGGUCAAGGGACGAGAGUCUGAACCAGCCAAGUAGCGUGAAGGAUGACUGCCCUAUGGGUUGUAAACUUCUUGUAUAAAGGAAUAAAACGAGGCACGUGUGCCUUGUUGCAUGUACGGUAUGAAUAAGGAUCGGCUAACUCCGUGCCAGCAGCCGCGGUAAUACGGAGGAUCCGAGCGUUAUCCGGAUUUAUUGGGUUUAAAGGGAGCGUAGAUGGGUUGUUACGUCAGUGGUGAUCGUGUGCGGCUAAACCGUAAAAUUGCCCUUGAUACGGGCAUUCUUUCGUACAGUUGAGGUAGGCGGAAUUCGUGGUGUCGCGG